Molecule: ribosomal RNA, 513 nt
Filed under: Eubacterium sp. oral clone BP1-34
Lineage: Bacteria; Bacillati; Bacillota; Clostridia; Eubacteriales; Eubacteriaceae
Description: bacterial SSU rRNA
Rfam family: Bacterial small subunit ribosomal RNA
Source: RNAcentral
AGAGUUUGAUCCUGGCUCAGGAUGAACGCUGGCGGCGUGCUUAGCACAUGCAAGUCGAGCGAGAAGUUUUGAAAAGAUUCUUCGGAUGAAAUUUAAAAUGGAAAGCGGCGGACGGGUGAGUAACGCGUAGGCAACCUGCCCCAUACAAAGGGAUAGCAUUUGGAAACGAAUAUUAAUACCUUAUGAAACUUAACUAGUGCAUGCUAGGUAGGUCAAAGAUUUAUCGGUAUGGGAUGGGCCUGCGUCUGAUUAGCUAGUUGGUGAGGUAACGGCUCACCAAGGCGACGAUCAGUAGCCGACCUGAGAGGGUGAACGGCCACAUUGGAACUGAGACACGGUCCAAACUCCUACGGGAGGCAGCAGUGGGGAAUAUUGCACAAUGGGGGAAACCCUGAUGCAGCAACGCCGCGUGAACGAUGAAGGCCUUUGGGUCGUAAAGUUCUGUUCUAGGUGAUGAAAACUGACAGUAACCUAGGAGAAAGCCCCGGCUAACUCCGUGCCAGCAGCCGCGGU